GGCCUAACACAUGCAAGUCGGACGAGAAGGUUCCUUCGGGAACUGGAGAGUGGCGCACGGGAGAGUAACGCGUGGGGACCUACCUCUUAGUGGGGGAUAACGGUUGGAAACGACCGCUAAUACCGCAUACGCCCUUCGGGGGAAAGAUUUAUCGCUAAGAGAUGGACCCGCGUUGGAUUAGAUAGUUGGUGAGGUAACGGCUCACCAAGUCAGCGAUCCAUAGCUGGUUUGAGAGGAUGAUCAGCCACACUGGGACUGAGACACGGCCCAGACUCCUACGGGAGGCAGCAGUGGGGAAUAUUGGACAAUGGGGGCAACCCUGAUCCAGCCAUGCCGCGUGAGUG
Molecule: ribosomal RNA, 344 nt
Filed under: bacterium ER-Se-21-light
Lineage: Bacteria
Description: bacterial SSU rRNA
Rfam family: Bacterial small subunit ribosomal RNA
Source: RNAcentral